UACGGAGGGGGUUAGCGUUGUUCGGAAUUACUGGGCGUAAAGCGCGCGUAGGCGGACCAGAAAGUUGGGGGUGAAAUCCCGGGGCUCAACCCCGGAACGGCCUCCUAAACUCCUGGUCUUGAGUUCGAGAGAGGUGAGUGGAAUUCCGAGUGUAGAGGUGAAAUUCGUAGAUAUUCGGAGGAACACCAGUGGCGAAGGCGGCUCACUGGCUCGAUACUGACGCUGAGGUGCGAAAGUGUGGGGAGCAAACAGG
This 253-nucleotide ribosomal RNA is filed under the name uncultured bacterium. RNAcentral's name for it is "partial 16S ribosomal RNA". It matches the Rfam family "Bacterial small subunit ribosomal RNA", at positions 524 to 776 of the family's 1533-position model. The record is from RNAcentral.